GGAUUCCAAAUUAGAUUGUCACCUCAUUCUCAACAGGCGUUCAUGAAUUUCCCGGUGGUAAUAAAGAGUCGAAAAGAAAUAACAAAAUUUCAUAAAGGCUUGCACUAGUUCCAAGCUGUGUGGAGACAUCAUGGAAAGGUGGUUCUCCUCAAAAGCUGCCGAGAUGACUACAGAAAACAAAUGGAGAGGAUCUUGACUCUGCCUCCAGCUGUGGCAGCUUUUCCACCUAGAGAGAGGGAGUGGCUGAAGGAUGAUGGCCGUUCCCUUCCCUGCCUCCUCGAAGAGACAUUCACUGCCCGCUCUGUGCUCCCAGUGUCAGAGAAAGGACAGGCCCUUUCCAUACUAAGGUUUUGGCAAGUACUAUCUGAACUUUUAAGAAGCUGAAAGACCCUGCAGGGAUUCUGCUGCCAAAGUUUUUGAGGCAAUCAGACACAUGGCACAGUGGAAGAACAUUGAACUUGAAUUCAUGCCUGCUUAGCCAUUGCCUAGCUCUGUAGCCUCGGGUCCUGUGGACAAAACAGAGAAAAAGAUUGGCUGCCUUCUGGAAGGGGGUCCAGACAGCAACAAGCAAGAAAAAUAUAGGAUCCUAAGAAAUGCUAUUGAACGUCAAUGUCAAUCCAAGUGAUGACUACAGGAGCAUCCUAGAAAUCCAUGGUCUCGACUCAGCAGGGAAAGCUCUGUUUUGCUUCUAAAAGGAACAAGUGGAGAAGCUAAGAAUAGAGGAGGGCCAGCACCGAGGGAUGUUGUCAAGACCAGCUUUAUUGUGCAGGUUUCUUCCCAUGCUCUCAUGCUCUAUUCUGUAUGGCCUCUGAGGCCAAAACAUGGCCUUAAAAAAUAGUCUCAUGAAAUGUCAAAGUUCUAUUAUUUCCUAAAUCCAUCUGGAAAUUUGAGACUGCUUCUAAGUUCUCAUUGUCCUAAGAGAACUGAUGAAUUGAUGAAUGUCUGGUGGGCUGGGUGGGUGUUCUGAAGCUCCCACUCACCAAGCCUUGGCAGGUUCCUAAAAGAUGAAAGGAAAAUAAGGAGGGAGGGAUAUCCUGUUGGUUGCUCCUGUUCUCAAUGGAGAGCUGACCCUGCUUUUGCCUUUUCAUCAACGAGUCCAGUGAGAGUAGUUUUCGGAGCCUAAAGUGCAAGUGAGCACACUCUUGUGAACUGCUAGCUGAGCCUGUAGGGCUGUCUGCUGCUGUCCUUUGUCCAAGGAGGGUUGCCCUUAAGGACUCAUUACCACACGUCCCCUGAGAGUGUCCAACCUCUGCAAACUCACCCUAUUAUUCCCCUGAGAUGGCAUCGUGGGCUGAAUUUUGCCCCCCAAAAGUCAUAUGUUGAAGUCCUAAACCCUAGUAUCUCUGCAUGUGGCGAUAUUUGGAGACAGAGACUUUAAAGAGGUAAUUAAGUUAAAUUGGGUCACUAAGAUGGGUCCGAAUCCAAUGUGACUGGCGUCCUUACAAGAAGACGAGAUUAGGACUGCGGCAACACAGAGAGACAACCCUGGGAGAGACACAGCAGAAGAUGGCCAUCUGCCAGCCAAGGAGAGAGACCUCAGAAGAAACCAAAGCUAUUAACGCCUUGACCUUGGACUUCUAGCCUCCAGAAUUGUGAGAAGACAAAUUUCUGUUGUUUAAGCCCCCCGGUCUGUGGUAUUUGGUUGUGGCAGCCCAAACGAGCCAGUACAGAUGUCCUCUAUUCUUUCUAGUGCCGGAGCAACACAAACUCCCUAGGACGUCCCUCUGGCCCGAAGAGGGAGAGCGAAGAAACCAGAAAAUCCUAGAUGAGUGACAGCUGCUUUCCUGAUUUUUAAGAAGUGUUGAUUCCUUUGUGAGACAAGUUGUUGACCUGAGCUCCAAGUGAAACAGCCUACAGAUAUUGACCAAGCUUCUAGGAUCUCAACAGGACACAAGCCCUGUACUGUAGGAAAGCUGCCUGUGCUGUGAAGCCCACAGCUCAAAGUCCAAAAGACCCUCUUUGAAACCUCAGUUCUGCCACUUUCCAGCUGUGUGAGCUUGAAUUUCUCCCAAUGUGCAACACGGAGAACAAACUUCAGGUAAUUGAGUUCUCCAGAGCUGGUGUCAGGACAGCAGACUUGAAGGUAAAGGAUCCAUCUGAAGCCUGUUCCCGGGAGCCGAGGGAGUGACAGUGAGGCAGCCAUGGGUGAGCACUUGGACUGCAGAAAAUGGGCCAGAAGCCACCCCAUCUCUGCCAAUGAUCUGAGCCUGGUGGAGGUGGGCGGCUGGAACCCCUGAAGAGAAGGCCCUGUCCUCAUGUAACUCAGAUCAGAGGUGCAGUGCAAGACAGAUGUGCACGGGCUGUAGGUGGUAAAAGAACAUACUAUAGGAGGAAGGAUAAUGUCCUGAAAAGAUUUACAGAUUGAGUGCAUAUUUAAGUAUACUAAAAGAUCAUUUUAAAAAUUAUAAAUGCUAGAAACAAGUGCUCUGUAUUUGGCAUGGCAGUUACAUGAAACUUGAGACUGUUUUGCAUAUACAUACUACAACUGUGUGCCAGUGCCUGGACAUAAUGCGUGCUCCAUUAGUAUUUUUGGAAAGGUAAGUGGUGUCAAGAGCAGUGGUCUGGAGUCUGAAGACCUGGAUUCUGAUCCUGAUUUUCAUUAAUUAACUGUGUCACCUCGGGAAAGUCACGUAACUUCUUUCAGUCCCAGGGUUUUCCUCUAUGAAGCACAAGACACAUUGAAUGGUCUUAAGAUCACUUCCUAUUUGAAAUGUCUGUGCUUCUAUUAGUGCUACAAGAGUGGGUCCCUGCACCCUGGUAAGACCAUCCUCUCAAGGAAUCACUGAGAAGAACCACAAAGGCAGAGAAGUGAGUGGGGGUUUUGGAGAAUGGCAGCUACUCUGAUGUGGCUGGAGAAUUGGGCUGAAGAAAGGUGAUACAGGAGGUGAGAACGGAGGAGCAGGGUGGGGCUUGGUCUGAAAAUCAUCACUCACAGUGUGAGGGGUAAAGAGUUGCAGCCAAAGAUGGACCAGAAGUAUUCGAUCUCAUGUGUAAGACAAAUGAAGUCUACAAUAUUGUGCGUAGUGACAUCAUCCAAUGUUUUUAUGAGGCAGUGGAUUUUGACUCUAGCUGCACAUGCUCCGCUAUCUGUUUUGAAAUAGAAGUGCCUGGGUGCCACCUCUAAAGACUCUGGUUCAGUAGAACAGGGGAGGCACUGACCUCAGGAUUAUUUUUAAUCUCCAUGGUGACUCAGGUGCGCGAUGAAAAUCAUUCGUAUGGUGCUUUACAGUUUACACACUUUUCAACGAUAUCCUUCGCUCCUCAGAGUCAAAGUAGAAUUAUCACCAUUUCGCAUGUGAGAAAUUUGAGUCUCAGAGAAAUUACAUCCAUCCAAAUGACAAGUGGCAGCAAGGAGACUCUAAGCCGAUUUCCUGAGCCCAGGUCCAGUGCUUUUUCACGUAGCUCAGCCGCCUAAAAUGAAAACAGGAGUAAGGUGCAUAAGAAUUCAUUCCCCAAUCCAAGAAAAUACUAGAACCAAGCAUGAUUUGAGGUUGGCAAAAGGGUAAAUUUAGGCCCAAUGAAAAAGCACUUCUUUGAAUAUAUUUAAUACAUUCGUGGACCUUUUAACCCAAAGACGUGGUAGAAGAGGAUGAUCAAAUGUUCAAAUGAGAUUUCAAUACAUUUAUAGAUGAAGGAUCCACUCUCUUAGAUAUUGAGAGAAGCACUGUAUCUCCUCAUGUAUUUGUCAGAGACCAAAUGCCAGACUGGUUGUAUUAUGUUAAAGGACAGUCUACAAAUUACAGUCAGACAUUCUCACAGUUUAUAGUCUCAUCUGCCUCAACCUUCGACUGAAAAUUCGAUUAUCCGUGCCCUCAGAAGGAAGGAACAGCACAGAUAAGUGAAGUUCCCACGAAUCAGCUACAAAAUAUGAGGAUGUGGUGAUGAUCCCAUGACCGCAGAAGGACUGGGGCUCCUGGGUGACAUCAGGCAAGCGAGUUAUUACGUGGUUAGCACAGGGAAGGAAAUUCAAUAUUAUCGGACGCCUGCAGCUUGGGAAGCCCUGGGCAGGGCACCGUGCGUCCACCAUCGUAUUUUGUCCUCUUGGGAAUCCCAAAAGGGUAGUAUUAUAAUUAUGCCCUUUUCACAGGGGAGAGAAGUCAGGCUCAGAGAGGUUCAGCAGUAUGCUUAAGGUUGCAGAGCUGCACAUGGUACAAUCCAGAUGGGCCUCUCUCCAAAGCUUGUGGUCUGUCCACUAUUUAUUUUUUCUGCUUUUUCUCCCCAAAUACCCCCAGUACCUAGUUGUAUAUUUUAGUUGUGGGUCCUUCUAGUUGUGGCAUAUGGGACACUGCCUCAACAUGGCCUGACAAGUGGUGCCAUGUCCAUGCCCAGGAUCCGAACCAGCGAAACCCUGGGCCACCAAAGUGGAGCGCUCGAACUUAACCACUUGGCCAUGGGGCCAGCCCCUCUGUCCACUAUCUUAUGUUUUGUACAGCCCACCAAAAGGUGAGGAAAUCGGAUGCAACCUAAUAAGCAAGGAAGUGAGAAGGCUUGCCCACUAUUGGAUGGCUUCAGCCUAUGGAGCUGCGUCUCAGUGGCUGCAGAGCGGUGUGGCUCACAUCAUUAGCAGCAGUCCCAGCGCACCUGCACGAAGAUGGCGCCUCUGAGCUGCUGAGUCAGGGGGCAUCUGCUCCUCACAUCCACAUGCAGGAUGUUCAUCGGGAGCUGGGAGCAGUUCCCCUGCGUGGGGAAUCCUGCCUCGCUUAGUCACCCUGAUAUUGCAUAACAGACGUGGCAUUUCCAACAGCAUGGCACGCUAAUUGUCAAAAAAAUUAAUAAGAGCAAGAAUGUUGGCAGCCAGAUGGCUGUUAAAUAAUUAAACUUCACUGCCUGUUACAAAAGCCAGAGUUCAUAGAAGCUGCUGCCUUAAAUUUUGUGGGGUGCUAAGCACUAAGGAAACACAUGGCGUUACACAUAUAUCGCCCUUAAAUACAACCCCAAAUGAGGGCAACGGAGGUGGUUCAGAGGAUUGGGUGCCAAACCUUUAAUUCUCUCACCUUAACACUGGGAAACCACCCGUGAAGCAUGCAGCUUGGCUGGCACCAGUUAAACCUGCCUGAGCCCCGAAUCCAGUAGACAUAGAGCAUCAAAGUGCACAGAAACCACCACCACCAUCCCUUUCUGACACUGUGGAAGUGGCCUUGUCCUGUGUCCCUCCUUUCUUCACCGCAGUCCAGCCCACUUCCCACCAGCAGCCAGACCCUCUUCUUGAAACAUACAUCUGCUUGUGUUGUGCUCCUGCUCAAAACCUUCCCAUUGUUCUUAGAAUAAAGUUAAAACUCACGUCCACGACCAGCCAGCCUCCUUAGCCUGAUCACACCCCACUCUCCCUCACACCCGUGAAGCUCUGCUUUGUCCUUCUAAGCACACCUGCCUACCUUAGGACCUUGUGACAUGCCACGUCCUUGCCUGAAUCACAACUUUCCUCCUCCCCACCAACCCACCACCUUACCUGGGUUCAUUUCUUUUCACUGAUCAUAUUUCUGCCCACUUGUCACUUUUUCAGAAUAUCUGAAUUAGGUGCCUCCUGCUAUAUUCCCUUAUAGCACCCUACAGUUCCAUUGCUGAGACAAC
Molecule: long non-coding RNA, 5571 nt
Filed under: Equus caballus (horse)
Lineage: Eukaryota; Metazoa; Chordata; Mammalia; Perissodactyla; Equidae
Description: lncRNA (ENSECAG00000047711.1)
Source: RNAcentral